Molecule: ribosomal RNA, 726 nt
Filed under: uncultured bacterium
Lineage: Bacteria
Description: bacterial SSU rRNA
Rfam family: Bacterial small subunit ribosomal RNA
Source: RNAcentral
GGUAGUCCACGCCGUAAACGAUGUCGACUUGGAGGUUGUGCCCUUGAGGCGUGGCUUCCGGAGCUAACGCGUUAAGUCGACCGCCUGGGGAGUACGGCCGCAAGGUUAAAACUCAAAUGAAUUGACGGGGGCCCGCACAAGCGGUGGAGCAUGUGGUUUAAUUCGAUGCAACGCGAAGAACCUUACCUACUCUUGACAUCCAGAGAACUUAGCAGAGAUGCUUUGGUGCCUUCGGGAACUCUGAGACAGGUGCUGCAUGGCUGUCGUCAGCUCGUGUUGUGAAAUGUUGGGUUAAGUCCCGCAACGAGCGCAACCCUUAUCCUUUGUUGCCAGCGGUUAGGCCGGGAACUCAAAGGAGACUGCCAGUGAUAAACUGGAGGAAGGUGGGGAUGACGUCAAGUCAUCAUGGCCCUUACGAGUAGGGCUACACACGUGCUACAAUGGCGCAUACAAAGAGAAGCGACCUCGCGAGAGCAAGCGGACCUCAUAAAGUGCGUCGUAGUCCGGAUUGGAGUCUGCAACUCGACUCCACGAAGUCGGAAUCGCUAGUAAUCGUAGAUCAGAAUGCUACGGUGAAUACGUUCCCGGGCCUUGUACACACCGCCCGUCACACCAUGGGAGUGGGUUGCAAAAGAAGUAGGUAGCUUAACCUUCGGGAGGGCGCUUACCACUUUGUGAUUCAUGACUGGGGUGAAGUCGUAACAAGGUAACCGUAGGGGAACCUGC